RNAcentral lists this unclassified non-coding RNA (204 nucleotides) under uncultured fungus. Its description in RNAcentral is "sequence contains ITS1, 5.8S rRNA gene". The record is from RNAcentral. Lineage: Eukaryota; Fungi.
UUAACUAUUAUAUAGUACUCAGACAGUAUAGACAAACAGAGUUUAGGUCCUCUGGCAGACGCGAGCCGGCCGGAGCCAGCAGCCCGAGGGCAGGCCUGCCAAAGCAACAAAGGUGUAAUAAACAAAGGGUGGUAUAGAAGACCCCAGCCCAGAGGGCCAGGGGACUAUAACUUUAAUGAUCCUUCCGCAGGUUCACCUACGGAA